This is a non-coding RNA of Oryza glumipatula, 207 nucleotides long. The record is from Rfam. Lineage: Eukaryota; Viridiplantae; Streptophyta; Magnoliopsida; Poales; Poaceae.
AAUAAAUACAGGUUUACACUGUUUAUGUCCAACGUUUGACCAUUCAUCUUAUUUGAAAAUAUUUUAUGAUUAGUAUUUUUAUUGUUAUUAGAUGAUAAAACAUAAAUAGCAAUUUAUGUGUGACUAAUUAUUUUAGUUUCUUCGUAAUUCUUUAAAAUAAGAUGUACGGUCCAAUAUUGGACACGGAUACGCACGACUGCAUUUAUU